This 407-nucleotide ribosomal RNA is filed under the name uncultured bacterium. RNAcentral describes it as "partial 16S ribosomal RNA". It matches the Rfam family "Bacterial small subunit ribosomal RNA", at positions 29 to 526 of the family's 1533-position model. The record is from RNAcentral.
AUUGAACGCUGGCGGCAGGCCUAACACAUGCAAGUCGAGCGGAGCGGCGGACGGGUGAGUAAUGCCUAGGAAUCUGCCUGGUAGUGGGGGAUAACGUCCGGAAACGGGCGCUAAUACCGCAUACUAUCAGAUGAGCCUAGGUCGGAUUAGCUAGUUGGUGGGGUAAAGGCCUACCAAGGCGAAGAUCCGUAACUGGUCUGAGAGGAUGAUAAGUCACACGGGAACGGAGAGAAGGUCCAGAAGCCUACGUGAGGCAGCAGUGGGGAAUAGUGGACAAUGGGCGAAAGCCUGAUCCAGCCAUGCAGCGUGUGGGAAGAAGGUCGUCGGAUUGGAAAGCACUUUAAGUUGGGAGGCGUGACCAACAGAAUAAGCACCGGCUAACUUCGUGCCAGCCGCCGCGGGAAUAC